This 32-nucleotide transfer RNA is filed under the name Corallorhiza odontorhiza. RNAcentral's name for it is "partial tRNA-Phe". The record is from RNAcentral. Lineage: Eukaryota; Viridiplantae; Streptophyta; Magnoliopsida; Asparagales; Orchidaceae.
GUGGGGAUAGGUGAGAGGUAGAGGAGAGGAGU